UGGAAUGUUAGGAAGCACCCUUCACUGCA
Molecule: non-coding RNA, 29 nt
Filed under: Mus musculus (house mouse)
Lineage: Eukaryota; Metazoa; Chordata; Mammalia; Rodentia; Muridae
Source: RNAcentral